Molecule: ribosomal RNA, 448 nt
Filed under: uncultured organism
Description: partial 16S ribosomal RNA
Rfam family: Bacterial small subunit ribosomal RNA
Source: RNAcentral
GUACACUCCUGCGGGAGGCAGCAGUGGGGAAUAUUGGACAAUGGGCGCAAGCCUGAUCCAGCCAUGCCGCGUGAGUGAUGAAGGCCCUAGGGUUGUAAAGCUCUUUCACCGGUGAAGAUAAUGACGGUAACCGGAGAAGAAGCCCCGGCUAACUUCGUGCCAGCAGCCGCGGUAAUACGAAGGGGGCUAGCGUUGUUCGGAUUUACUGGGCGUAAAGCGCACGUAGGCGGACUAUUAAGUCAGGGGUGAAAUCCCGGGGCUCAACCCCGGAACUGCCUUUGAUACUGGUAGUCUUGAGUUCGAGAGAGGUGAGUGGAAUUCCGAGUGUAGAGGUGAAAUUCGUAGAUAUUCGGAGGAACACCAGUGGCGAAGGCGGCUCACUGGCUCGAUACUGACGCUGAGGUGCGAAAGCGUGGGGAGCAAACAGGAUUAGAUACCCCUGUAGUCC